AUUGAACGCUGGCGGCAGGCCUAACACAUGCAAGUCGAACGGUAACAGGAAGCAGCUUGCUGCUUCGCUGACGAGUGGCGGACGGGUGAGUAAUGUCUGGGAAGCUGCCUGAUGGAGGGGGAUAACUACUGGAAACGGUAGCUAAUACCGCAUAAUGUCGCAAGACCAAAGAGGGGGGCCUUCGGGCCUCUUGCCAUCGGAUGUGCCCAGAUGGGAUUAGCUUGUUGGUGGGGUAACGGCUCACCAAGGCGACGAUCCCUAGCUGGUCUGAGAGGAUGACCAGCCACACUGGGACUGAGACACGGUCCAGACUCCUACGGGAGGCAGCAGUGGGGAAUAUUGCACAAUGGGCGCAAGCCUGAUGCAGCCAUGCCGCGUGUAUGAAGAAGGCCUUCGGGUUGUAAAGUACUUUCAGCGGGGAGGAAGGGAGUAAAGUUAAUACCUUUGCUCAUUGACGUUACCCGCAGAAGAAGCACCGGCUAACUCCGUG
Molecule: ribosomal RNA, 490 nt
Filed under: uncultured bacterium
Lineage: Bacteria
Description: partial 16S ribosomal RNA
Rfam family: Bacterial small subunit ribosomal RNA
Source: RNAcentral